RNAcentral lists this ribosomal RNA (452 nucleotides) under uncultured bacterium. RNAcentral's name for it is "bacterial SSU rRNA". It matches the Rfam family "Bacterial small subunit ribosomal RNA", at positions 340 to 786 of the family's 1533-position model. The record is from RNAcentral.
UACGGGAGGCAGCAGUGGGGAAUAUUGCACAAUGGGCGCAAGCCUGAUGCAGCCAUGCCGCGUGUAUGAAGAAGGCCUUCGGGUUGUAAAGUACUUUCAGUCGUGAGGAAGGUGUUAAGGUUAAUAACCUUAGCAAUUGACGUUAGCGACAGAAGAAGCACCGGCUAACUCCGUGCCAGCAGCCGCGGUAAUACGGAGGGUGCGAGCGUUAAUCGGAAUUACUGGGCGUAAAGGGCACGCAGGCGGUUAAUUAAGUUGGAUGUGAAAUCCCCGGGCUUAACCUGGGAAUGGCAUUCAAGCUGGUUAGCUAGAGUCUUGUAGAGGGGGUAGAAUUCCAUGUGUAGCGGUGAAAUGCGUAGAGAUGUGGAGGAAUACCGGUGGCGAAGGCGGCCCCUGGACAAGACUGACGCUCAUGUGCGAAAGCGUGGGGAGCGAAACAGGGAUUAGAUACC